GACGAACGCUGGCGGCGUGCUUAACACAUGCAAGUCGAACGGAAAGGCCCUGCUUUUGUGGGGUGCUCGAGUGGCGAACGGGUGAGUAACACGUGAGUAACCUGCCCUUGACUUUGGGAUAACUUCAGGAAACUGGGGCUAAUACAGGAUAGGAGCUACUGCUGCAUGGUGGGGGUUGGAAAGUUUCGGCGGUUGGGGAUGGACUCGCGGGUUAUCAGCUUGUUGGUGGGGUAGGGGUUUACCAAGUCUUUGACGGGUAGCCGGCCUGAGAGGGUGACCGGCCACAUUGGUACUGAGAUACGGCCCAGACUCCUACGGGACGCAGCAGUCGGGAAUAUUGCACAAUGGGCCGAAGCCUGAUGCAGCAACGCCGCGUGCGGGAUGACGGCCUUCUGGUUAUAAACCGCUUUCGCCUGUGACGAAGCGUGAGUGACGGUAAUGGGUAAAGAAGCACCGGCUAACUACGUG
This 468-nucleotide ribosomal RNA is filed under the name uncultured bacterium. RNAcentral's name for it is "partial 16S ribosomal RNA". It matches the Rfam family "Bacterial small subunit ribosomal RNA", at positions 28 to 507 of the family's 1533-position model. The record is from RNAcentral.